UAUUUGGCAGUUGGGUGGGGUAAGGUGGAGGUUACGGGCAAGUAUCUGACACAGGUACCUGUUCCCAGUGCUUGGCGAUGGAGCGUAGCUGGAUUUGACUCUGGGUCUUAUUGCUACUCUGUCAUUUCCAGCAUCUAGGGAUAGGGGAGGUUUGGGGAUUCUGGCUCCCAGUGUAGGGCAGAAGUGUUUAGAGGUAACGCUGCACUUCCAGAUCUCCAGGCCAGGUUGGAUGGGGCCUUGGGCAGCCUAAUUUAGUGGGAUGUCCCUGCCCGUGGCAAGGGGUUGGAACUGGAUGAUCUUUGAGGUCCCCUCCAACCCUAACUAUUCUAUGAUUCCAUAAUCUCCUUCAAGCUGCGACAGUAUGUACAGGGUCGUAGGCACUGACUGAGACCUACUUGCAAGGGGUAACUGAGGUUGUUUAAAAAAUCAGGUUGCGAUAAAGUUAUAUCUGCUUGCUUUCCCACAAAACCUGUUCCCUUGUGCUCUGCUUUCUACGCUCACUCCCAGUUAAAUAAUCUUGGAACCUGUUCACAAGCUUCUGUGGUCUAAAUCUACUCCUCAGGAAGACUGCAUUUCCCUCCAGCAGUGUAAUCUCCCGGGUGUCCUGGAACAGCAGGACACUGGCACUGUGCUUCUGCUGCACUGGAAAUCAGGGAACACUCUUGACACUUGCAGAAGCGUGAAGCGUUGCUGGGACUACUGAAAACCCAAGAGCCACUGGGACUUUUCUGCAGAAUGAAAUCCCAGAUGAAAAGGACUGUGCAGCUUGCCUCUGUGGGGAGCCGUCAUCAGGGAGGUGCAAGCGGCUGCCGGCGGAGCUAACUCUCACCAUGUUGCAAUGGCAAGGAAAAAUGCUGCCCUAGUGCUGGCUGCUCAAAGUUUCUGCUGCUUCAGGGGAGCUAUAAUAUUGUACGUAGUGUUUGGGUGGAUAUUUACAUACUAAGUUAAGCAUUGUUAUUAUAAUAAAACUCAUGAAGGAUAUACAAAAUAUCACAGGAUUCUUUUUGUCAGGGAAAAGAGUUUUUUCCACGGUUUCUCUUCCCUGAACUUUAGUGAAGUAUACUUACUGGUGAAGUACCAUGAUCAGCAAC
Long non-coding RNA from Cuculus canorus (common cuckoo), 1091 nucleotides. RefSeq lists it as uncharacterized. The record is from RefSeq and is a predicted model, not a curated record. NCBI's taxonomy places the organism in Eukaryota, Metazoa, Chordata, Aves, Cuculiformes, Cuculidae. The transcript is spliced from 3 exons.